Molecule: ribosomal RNA, 484 nt
Filed under: uncultured bacterium
Lineage: Bacteria
Description: partial 16S ribosomal RNA
Rfam family: Bacterial small subunit ribosomal RNA
Source: RNAcentral
AUUGAACGCUGGCGGCAGGCCUAACACAUGCAAGUCGAGCGGAUGAAGGGAGCUUGCUCCUGGAUUCAGCGGCGGACGGGUGAGUAAUGCCUAGGAAUCUGCCUGGUAGUGGGGGAUAACGUCCGGAAACGGGCGCUAAUACCGCAUACGUCCUGAGGGAGAAAGUGGGGGAUCUUCGGACCUCACGCUAUCAGAUGAGCCUAGGUCGGAUUAGCUAGUUGGUGGGGUAAAGGCCUACCAAGGCGACGAUCCGUAACUGGUCUGAGAGGAUGAUCAGUCACACUGGAACUGAGACACGGUCCAGACUCCUACGGGAGGCAGCAGUGGGGAAUAUUGGACAAUGGGCGAAAGCCCGAUCCAGCCAUGCCGCGUGUGUGAAGAGGGUCUUCGGAUUGUAAAGCACUUUAAGUUGGGAGGAAGGGCAGUAAGUUAAUACCUUGCUGUUUUGACGUUACCAACAGAAUAAGCACCGGCUAACUUCGUG